CUCUCGUGUCAUCACUUCCGCCUAGCAACGGAGCGCGGUGCCCCGUUGCUAGGAGACGCCGGGCAGAGUUCAGACCAUGGCGGCAGCGAAGAAACCGGUUCCCCAGGAGCCCCUGAGCUUCGUGCUGCGCGGGCACCGGGCCCCACUCCGGUGAGUGCGAACAGCAAGAGGAGCCGGAGACCGCCCGAGCUGGCAGAAUACUUAGCGCUCACUGAGCCCCCUCCGCCCCACUUCUUCAUUGCCCCGAAGGGGAGAGUGAAACCAGGGUUCUCAGUCACCCAGAGAAUCAGGGUCUGGAGCGCUAGCGACCAGGGAAGCCUUCCCGUAAGAGGCGGACCCAGAGCUGAGCCUGCAUUCACUCGUCCGUUCUCUCAUUCAACAAGCAUUUAUUAAGUGCCUAAGACGUACAGUCGCUGCGCUAGUUUGUAGACUUUGGAAGACGAAAUUGACAUAGUCCCUCAAGGGACUGCAGGGGUUUGUUGUAUUGGGGAGGAUACAAUUAAACAACAAGUGUUUAUCAUCUCCUGUGGGCUAGACUCUGUGCUAAGGAUGCAAGGAAAGGCAAAACCUCCAUUCACAUGGGGAGAUACAUAGAGAAAAGAAAGGAAUUUCUCCGUUAUACUCAGAAAAGCGUCCAUGGCCAACAUCCUAACUCCCAUGAAUUAGUCAAGAGCCAGGCAUCCUUGUGCAAUCUGGAAAACACUUCAUGGAUUCAAGAGGAAGAAAUGGCUGGUUUGUCUCCUCAAAAGGACAGUCCCACGAUUGAGGACCUAGAAGAAAGUUUACAGAAGCUGAAGGUCCACGUGUGCCCACGCUUGGUCCCCAGCUCGAAUCAAGACUCUGACACUGACGAUGGCUCUGGUUCGGAGGCCACUGACCUGUGGAGAUUUACUCAGGCUCAGUGGCCUGAAGUCCAAUGUGGCCCAUCUCCCAUGAAGGAGGGGGAAGCCCUGGCGCAGGCGCCUGUGCCCUUAGCCAGACCGGUGGGAAACGACUCAAGCCUUAGGACCUUAGGCCUUCCAGUGAGGUCCCUGGCUCCCGGCAGGUAUAGAGCAGGCCUCCUGGGAAAUGAGGUGGCCCCCACUAGCUGCCUGCCAUCUGUGGCCUUGCUGAUGAAUGGACCCCCUGCACAGGCCUUCCCCCCGAAACUAGGGGCACCCCAUGUGAUCGGGGUGAAGUCCCUGCUGCCUCCUACGAUCCCAGUGAGGUCCUGCUCUCCCGGCAUACCUCGAGGCAGGUCCCUUUCUCUCACCCGCUCCCAUUCUUUCUCCCCCGCUUCCAAGAGGACUCGAUGGGUCAGGUCUCGGUCACAGUCCCCCAGGCCCAUCUGGAGACCCACCUCAGCCAAAGCCAAUGCUUGUGCACAGCCUCCCCCUCAGCUCAUCCGGCCCGGAGGGAGCAGAAAGAAAAUGACUCUGAACAGACCGUCUCGAUCUCGAACUUGUAAAACGGGGCACUGGGCCACCCGCCGGGCCUGCAUGACCCCUGAACCCAGGGAGGAAGAUGCCCUGGACUACUCCUGGAGCCCUUACUGCCUACCUGUGCCUGGAAUCUCCUCUCCCCUGGUUCAGGAGAUGAACAAAAGGUUCUUCAAGACCCUCACAGAAAGGAAUGUGCAUCAGCCCCUGGGGACCAUGGACCCCAUCCAGAAAACCUUGACACGACUCCGUUUGCAGCGCCUUCGGGCAGAGGAAGAGUGGGUACUAGAGCUGAAGAGGCAGCAAGAACUGGAACGGACCCGAGGUCCCAGGUCCAAGUGGUAUGAGAUGAAAAGCUCCCAGUUCCACUAUGAAGCCCACAAACAUAAUGAGUGGCUGAGGAACAGCCAGGACGCACCGCUCCUCUAUAACUACAGACAAGAACUGGCUUCCAGGGCCGAGGAGUUUGAGGAACGCUCCAAGCCUCCCCAUCUGGAUUCCUUUUUAACGCGGCAGGAUCAUUAGUAACGGGAUUGGAAGGCUAAUGAAGCUCCAGGCUGAAGCCUUAGCAUUCUCCGGGGUUCUCUGGUUUUGUGGAAUAGAGAGCAAGGAGGUCACUGUCUUCCAGUGUGAAGACCCCAAAUCCCAGAGGGGCCUACCUUCAAAAGAGGGACAGGAUGAGACCGCGCUGCGUUCUGAAUGGCCAAAGACUGGAAGGUGCCAUCUUGGAAGAGAGAAAUCCGAAGCCCGAAGGAGACGCAGACUUCUCUCUCUCGUCCCCAUUGCUAAAACCAAGCAGAGAAGGGCUGGCUUCUUCUGGAGAGAUGUUUAUCCAUUCAUUCUCUUGCUUAAAGGGUUUUUAUUAAAUACCUACCAUCGCCAAGCGAGAUACAAAGUUUAGCUAAGACAACUCUUGUUCUCAAUUCAAUCCAGUCAAACGAGUACCAAGUGGGGUUCUCUACAUGACAUGCAGGAAUCUUAUGGUCUUCAAAGGGAUAACAUACACAGAAUAAACCCGAACAUACAAUAUCACGAGAAGAGUGCCCCAGAGAGCUGCCGAGAGCAAUGUGGAUCCAAGGAAGAAGGUUGUUGCCAGCCAGGGCUCAGUGGGGGUGGAAGCUAGGGAUCGGGGAAGUCUUCCUGGACAAAGUAGUGAUGGAUUUGAUCUUUGAAGCGUGAAUAAAUAUUCAGCAAGCAAAGAGGGAGGACAAAGCCCGGGACAGGAGCUGCUAGUAUUGGUGUUGGCCACAUGACAGACAUGAUUAAAUAAAACGUUCUGUUUGAUAGUGUUUGAACGUCCCCAGCACUUCCCAGCUCUUCGGGGUUUAUAAAAGUGUAUGUACUGGGUUGAGUUAACUAACCGGGGAGGAGUCAGGAGCAAACGGACUGCCCUGGUACACGAUUUUCCCCUUAACAUUUAAGAUACCCGAAUUAUAUUUGUUACUUAAAUGUGUGGUUGGGUCACAAGCUAGGCUUUUGAGGUAAGGCCGGGUUUCUAGGUGACGGGAGGGACAAUCAUGUUAGGACCAAUUGGCAGAAUUCCAAAGAAAGUUCCUGUCUUUGAUUAGACAUCAUAAAAUAUACUAGA
This is a long non-coding RNA of Sarcophilus harrisii (Tasmanian devil), 3006 nucleotides long. Lineage: Eukaryota; Metazoa; Chordata; Mammalia; Dasyuromorphia; Dasyuridae. The record is from Ensembl.